GAGGGGGGGGGGCUUAACCAUGCAGUCGGAGCGGGGAGGGUAGCUUGCUACCUGACCUAGCGGCGGACGGGUGAGUAAUGCUUAGGAAUCUGCCUAUUAGUGGGGGACAACAUUCCGAAAGGAAUGCUAAUACCGCAUACGCCCUACGGGGGAAAGCAGGGGAUCUUCGGACCUUGCGCUAAUAGAUGAGCCUAAGUCAGAUUAGCUAGUUGGUGGGGUAAAGGCCUACCAAGGCGACGAUCUGUAGCGGGUCUGAGAGGAUGAUCCGCCACACUGGGACUGAGACACGGCCCAGACUCCUACGGGAGGCAGCAGUGGGGAAUAUUGGACAAUGGGCGAAAGCCUGAUCCAGCCAUGCCGCGUGUGUGAAGAAGGCCUUUUGGUUGUAAAGCACUUUAAGCGAGGAGGAGGCUACUUGGAUUAAUACUCUAGGAUAGUGGACGUUACUCGCAGAAUAAGCACCGGCUAACUCUGUGCCAGCAGCCGCGGUAAUACAGAGGGUGCGAGCGUUAAUCGGGAUUUACUGGGCGUAAAGCGUGCGUAGGCGGCUUUUUAAGUCGGAUGUGAAAUCCCUGAGCUUAACUUAGGAAAUUGCAUUCGAUACUGGGAAGCUAGAGUAUGGGAGAGGAUGGUAGAAUUCCAGGUGUAGCGGGUGAAAUGCGUAGAGAUCUGGAGGAAUACCGAUGGCGAAGGCAGCCAUCUGGCCUAAUACUGACGCUGAGGUACGAAAGCAUGGGGAGCAAACAGGAUUAGAUACCCUGGUAGUCCAUGCCGUAAACGAUGUCUACUACCCGUUGGGGCCUUUUGAGGCUUUUAUUGGCGCACUAACGCGAUAAUAGACCGCCUGGGGGAGUACGGGCGCAAGACUAAAACUCAAAAUGGAAUUGACGGGGGGCC
Molecule: ribosomal RNA, 897 nt
Filed under: Acinetobacter johnsonii
Lineage: Bacteria; Pseudomonadati; Pseudomonadota; Gammaproteobacteria; Moraxellales; Moraxellaceae
Description: bacterial SSU rRNA
Rfam family: Bacterial small subunit ribosomal RNA
Source: RNAcentral